UGAGCCCCAUUGGAGCCGGGACUACAACGCCCGUCAUGCCCCGCGCUCCACAGAACCACCGGGAUCGGCCCCCCAUUUGUCCCUUAAGUGUCCCCCAGACCCUCCAGGAUCCCUCACUGCCCCCUUAGCGCCCAUUCGGGACCUCCUAAAAGCGUCCCCGGAUCCCCUGAGUGCUCCCGACCCCACAGAUGCCCGGUACAGCCACUUCUGGGAAUUCAUCUCCUCUCCUCCCCCGCGGCCCCAGAGCCCCUCAGAACACAGUCCUGCGCCUAAAACUCCUGCCGUGCCCCGCACCCUAAAGAACCUUGUUAGAGGUCCUCGAACUCCCCGCAAGUUCUCUCGAACCGCUUACGUUCCCCCGAGGAUCUCAAGUCGCGGCUCGGACGCAGGAGUCUCCGCCCAGAACCUUCCCGGACUCCCAAACAAAGCGUUCGAGCCACUUCCGGGACUACGGCUCCCAUCAUGCUCUGCGGCGCAUGUCCAGUGCUGUUCCAGCCGGGACUUCAUCUCCCGUCAUGCCCUGCGCCCCACUGAGAGCCAUUGCAGCUGCGUCUCGGACUCCCGUGAUGCUCCGCGGCCAUGUUAAACUGCAUUAGCCCCCCGUCUACAACUCCCAUCACACCCCACGCCCCAGAGAAGCCUGUCAGGGCCCCCCCAAGGGCCCGCCCGGAUCCCGAAGGGCCCCAAAUUCCCCUCCCUGACCUCCAAGGGUCCCCCUGGACCCCCAAGUGCUGCCCCAGACCACGAACUGUCCCUCAGGAUCCCUGAGUGCCCCUCCAAGUGCCCACUCGGCUCCCCCAAGUGUCCUCCAGACCCUCAAGUUCUCUCUGAAUUCCCUCUCCAGACCCCAAACUGCCCCAAAUGUGCCCCAGAAAUGUCACCAGAGACCCCAAAGUGGCCUUUUUUACCUUUUCUGUGAAAAUGAUAAAAAAGGAUUACAAAAGGAUUUAAAAUGGGGCUAAUUAGCAUUAAGGAGAAAUCAAGAGCCACACUGGACAGUGAAUUAAUGAAGGGAAUCGUGUUACUCAGAACCAAUGACCAAUAAAUUUUUUGCUUUCUAAAAUGUCUGUAAGAGAUGGUCCAAAGAUCCCUCAUCUGCCUCACAGCCGCCGUCAAGGACAGAGAUUGAAGCCCUCCCCAAGGACUGAGAUGAGACCCUUCAAAUUCUAACCCAGAGGUGCUGGCCUGACUGGAGCGGGAUGUCUGCCAUGGGAAGAGGGAUGUUUCCCAUAGGAACCAGUCUUGAAACAACGGGCCCUGCUCACUGCUGGCACCGGUUUGUGCUGUUCAGACCUGGACUGUCUGUGCCUGUUCCCAAUGGAUUUAUUCUCCACUGUGCCCUCCAUGUGCCGUCCUGCUCCCUCCCGGCGGUAGAUUAUAAAAGAGCCCUGAGUUAACCAAAGGCUUUGUGACUCUCCCCGACGUGACCAGACAGAACUAUUGGCUGGACCACGAGGAUUUCAUCUCCCUGUUGGUAGCUAUUCCCCUCAACCAACCCUCCUUUCUCUCUCUCUCUCUGUCCUUUAUCUCCUUUCUAAUCCUUCUGUUGCAUCUGCUGUGGGCACACAAUAAAAGGUGCAUUUGUUUUGAUUAA
Zonotrichia leucophrys gambelii is the source of this 1594-nucleotide long non-coding RNA. RefSeq lists it as uncharacterized. The record is from RefSeq and is a predicted model, not a curated record. The transcript is spliced from 2 exons. Lineage: Eukaryota; Metazoa; Chordata; Aves; Passeriformes; Passerellidae.